AACGAACGCUGGCGGCAUGCCUAACACAUGCAAGUCGAACGAGACCUCCGGGUCUGGUGGCGCACGGCUGCGUAACGCGUGGGAAUCUGCCCUUCGGUUGGGCAUAACUGAGAGAAAUUUCUGCUAAUACCUUAUAAUGUCUUCGGACCAAAGAUUUAUCGCCGAGGGAUGAGCCCGCGUAGGAUUAGGUAGUUGGUGGGGUAAUGGCCUACCAAGCCGACGAUCCUUAGCUGGUCUGAGAGGAUGAUCAGCCACACUGGGACUGAGACACGGCCCAGACUCCUACGGGAGGCAGCAGUGGGGAAUAUUGGACAAUGGGCGAAAGCCUGAUCCAGCAAUGCCGCGUGAGUGAUGAAGGCCUUAGGGUUGUAAAGCUCUUUUACCCGGGAUGAUAAUGACGGUACCGGGAGAAUAAGCCCCGGCUAACUCCGUG
This 433-nucleotide ribosomal RNA is filed under the name uncultured bacterium. RNAcentral's name for it is "partial 16S ribosomal RNA". It matches the Rfam family "Bacterial small subunit ribosomal RNA", at positions 29 to 507 of the family's 1533-position model. The record is from RNAcentral.